UACGUAGGUGACCAGCGUUGUCCGGAUUUACUGGGCGUAAAGAGCGCGCAGGCGGUCGUUCAAGUCGAGUGUGAAAGCCCCCGGCUCAACUGGGGAGGGUCACUCGAUACUGAUCGACUUGAAGGCAGGAGAGGGAAGCGGAAUUCCCGGUGUAGCGGUGAAAUGCGUAGAUAUCCGGAGGAACACCGGUGGCGAAGGCGGCUUCCUGGACCGACACUGACGCUGAGGCGCGAAAGCUAGGGGAGCAAACGGG
Molecule: ribosomal RNA, 253 nt
Filed under: uncultured bacterium
Lineage: Bacteria
Description: partial 16S ribosomal RNA
Rfam family: Bacterial small subunit ribosomal RNA
Source: RNAcentral